UAAGGGAUAUUGCACAAUGGACGGAAGUCUGAUGCAGCGACGCCGCGUGGGUGAAGAAGGUUUUCGGAUCGUAAAGCCCUUUUCUAUGUGACGAGGAAGGACGGUAGCAUAGGAAUAAGUGUCGGCUAACUACGUGCCAGCAGCCGCGGUAAAACGUAGGACACGAACGUUAUCCGGAGUUACUGGGCGUAAAGCGCGCGUAGGCGGUUGGUCAAGUUACCUAUGAAAGAUACAGGCUAAACUUGUAUUGGUUAGGUGAAACUGGUCGACUAGAGAGAAAUAGAGGGAAGUAGAAUUCCGGGUGUAGUGGUGAAAUGCGUAGAUAUCCGGAGGAAUACCGGUGGCGAAGGCGGCUUCCUGGAUUUCGACUGACGCUGAAGCGCGAAAGCGUGGGUAGCGAACGGGAUUAGAUACCCCCGUAGUCC
RNAcentral lists this ribosomal RNA (425 nucleotides) under uncultured prokaryote. RNAcentral's name for it is "bacterial SSU rRNA". It matches the Rfam family "Bacterial small subunit ribosomal RNA", at positions 355 to 796 of the family's 1533-position model. The record is from RNAcentral.